RNAcentral lists this transfer RNA (72 nucleotides) under Caraboidea sp. KM-2017. RNAcentral describes it as "tRNA-Lys". Lineage: Eukaryota; Metazoa; Arthropoda; Insecta; Coleoptera. The record is from RNAcentral.
CAUUAGAUGACUGAAAGCAAGUAUUGGUCUCUUAAACCAAAUUUAUAGUAAAUUAACGAUUACUUCUAAUGA